AAGGGGCGAGCGUUAUCCGGAAUUAUUGGGCGUAAAGGGUGCGUAGGCGGUUAUUUAAGUCUGAUGUUAAAGUGCGGAGCUCAACUCCGUGAUGCAUUGGAAACUGGAUAACUUGAGUAUGGUAGAGGUAAGUGGAAUUUCUAGUGUAGCGGUAAAAUGCGUAAAUAUUAGAAGGAACACCAGUGGCGAAGGCGGCUUACUGGGCCAUUACUGACGCUGAGGCACGAAAGCGUGGGGAGCAAACAGGAUUAGAUACCCUGGUAGUCCACGCCGUAAACGAUGAGAACUAAGUGUUGGGGUUACCCAGUGCUGAAGUUAACGCAUUAAGUUCUCCGCCUGGGGAGUACGCACGCAAGUGUAAAACUCAAAGGAAUUGACGGGGGCCCGCACAAGCGGUGGAGCAUGUUGUUUAAUUCGAAGAUACGCGAAGAACCUUACCAGGUCUUGACAUCCUGUGCAAUGUUAUAGAGAUAUAGCGGAGGUUAACACAGUGACAGGUGGUGCAUGGUUGUCGUCAGCUCGUGUCGUGAGAUGUUGGGUUAAGUCCCGCAACGAGCGCAACCCUUAUCGUUAGUUGCCAUCAUUAAGUUGGGCACUCUAGCGAGACUGCCAGUGAUAAACUGGAGGAAGGUGGGGAUGACGUCAAAUCAUCAUGCCCCUUAUGACCUGGGCUACAAACGUGCUACAAUGGCUACUACAAAGAGUUGCGAUACCGCGAGGUGGAGCUAAUCUCAUAAAGGUAGUCUCAGUUCGGAUUGGAGUCUGCAACUCGACUCCAUGAAGUUGGAAUCGCUAGUAAUCGCGAAUCAGAAUGUCGCGGUGAAUACGUUCUCGGGCCCUUGUA
Molecule: ribosomal RNA, 844 nt
Filed under: uncultured bacterium
Lineage: Bacteria
Description: bacterial SSU rRNA
Rfam family: Bacterial small subunit ribosomal RNA
Source: RNAcentral